GCUCUGGGAAAAUGUCUAGAAGGAAGAUGAAAAUCUGAACUCGGCUCUCCCUCCCUCCUGCAGGUGGAACUCAAGUGUUCAAAAAAAUCAUGAGUGGCUGAAAACAAAUAAAACACCCACAGACUGUGCCCUUUGGCUCUGAGCCAGUGGGGUGUACACUCAGCAGUUUUUUCAAAGACUUGAGACGUGCUUCUUCACAAGAAAAUCCCUGAAAGUGAAAAUUCCCACAUAACUGUCAGGGUCCAAGGAUGAUGGGUUGGAGGAAAAAAACCUGGUGUUGCAAAUCUUGCUGUGAAAUGGGGGCAGCUGAGAACAUCCAAUUGCAGGAACACAGCAGGAUGGAACCUUGGCCACUUUUGAUGGAGUGGAAAUGAGCUCCAUAGGAUGGCAAGGCAUAUAGCUUUUCACAUGGUUCAGUGCAGGAAUUUGAAGAAGGGCAUCCUCCCUAACAUGUA
Long non-coding RNA from Pipra filicauda (Wire-tailed manakin), 455 nucleotides. RefSeq lists it as uncharacterized. The record is from RefSeq and is a predicted model, not a curated record. The transcript is spliced from 3 exons. NCBI's taxonomy places the organism in Eukaryota, Metazoa, Chordata, Aves, Passeriformes, Pipridae.